UGGGGAAUAUUGGACAAUGGGGGAAACCCUGAUCCAGCAAUGCCGCGUGUGUGAAGAAGGCCUGCGGGUUGUAAAGCACUUUCAGUAAGGAAGAAAUGUUUAGAGUUAAUACCUCUGAAUCUUGACGUUACUUACAGAAGAAGCUCCGGCUAACUCCGUGCCAGCAGCCGCGGUAAUACGGAGGGAGCGAGCGUUAAUCGGAAUUACUGGGCGUAAAGCGCGCGUAGGCGGCUUUAUAAGUCGGAUGUGAAAGCCCUGGGCUUAACCUGGGAAUUGCAUUCGAUACUGUAUAGCUAGAGUAUGGUAGAGGGAAGUGGAAUUUCCGGUGUAGCGGUGAAAUGCGUAGAGAUCGGAAGGAACACCAGUGGCGAAGGCGACUUCCUGGGCCAAUACUGACGCUGAGGUGCGAAAGCGUGGGGAGCAAACAGG
This 429-nucleotide ribosomal RNA is filed under the name uncultured bacterium. RNAcentral describes it as "bacterial SSU rRNA". It matches the Rfam family "Bacterial small subunit ribosomal RNA", at positions 355 to 776 of the family's 1533-position model. The record is from RNAcentral.